This 467-nucleotide ribosomal RNA is filed under the name uncultured bacterium. Its description in RNAcentral is "partial 16S ribosomal RNA". It matches the Rfam family "Bacterial small subunit ribosomal RNA", at positions 28 to 507 of the family's 1533-position model. The record is from RNAcentral.
GACGAACGCUGGCGGCGUGCUUAACACAUGCAAGUCGAACGGAAAGGCCCUGCUUUUGUGGGGUGCUCGAGUGGCGAACGGGUGAGUAACACGUGAGUAACCUGCCCUUGACUUUGGGAUAACUUCAGGAAACUGGGGCUAAUACCGGAUAGGAGCUCCUGCUGCAUGGUGGGGGUUGGAAAGUUUCGGCGGUUGGGGAUGGACUCGCGGCUUAUCAGCUUGUUGGUGGGGUAGUGGCUUACCAAGGCUUUGACGGGUAGCCGGCCUGAGAGGGUGACCGGCCACAUUGGGACUGAGAUACGGCCCAGACUCCUACGGGAGGCAGCAGGGGGGAAUAUUGCACAAUGGGCGGAAGCCUGAUGCAGCAACGCCGCGUGCGGGAUGACGGCCUUCGGGUUGUAAACCGCUUUCGCCUGUGACGAAGCGUGAGUGACGGUAUGGGUAAAGAAGCACCGGCUAACUACGUG